This 710-nucleotide long non-coding RNA is filed under the name Lonchura striata (white-rumped munia). RNAcentral describes it as "domestica (Bengalese finch) lncRNA (ENSLSDG00000014881.1)". The record is from RNAcentral. Lineage: Eukaryota; Metazoa; Chordata; Aves; Passeriformes; Estrildidae.
AGCACAAUAGACUCUGGUGGUGUGAGGUGCCGCUGCCCACGGUGGGUAUUUGGGGACAGCUCCCUUUCCCUGAGGGGGGAACACUAACGGGGGCUUCUCAUCUCACUGCGCAGGUGAAGCAGCCACCAAAAUCUGGCCGGGCAGGAGCCGGGGCUGGGGAGGCUCUUCUUGUGAGGGGAGGAGGCCGGGGUCUCCUGGGCGGGAGAGGGGCGGCUGGGGGUGACCGUGCAGGGCAACAAAGCCCUGCUGACCCCAACAGCAGACUACGAAAAAAAUCUUGUUCUUGCAUCCCAAGGGACCGGGAUUAGAGCAGACUGAUCGCAGCUCUCGAUCCUGUCCAGCCCACCAUGGUUCCUGUGACAUGCUUUGCACUCUUCGUCAUAGGCAUUGCAAUUGUAGCCAUAGCAAUGAGUCAGAACAUGGAUGUCUCUGUGAAUGCCAAUGUGGCAUUUGUUGCUCCUGCACGUGUUUAUCGUGGGAGGAGAAACUCGGCCUGCCCCCAGGCUGCUGCUGUUGCCUUGAGGAUCAGAGGAACAACUCCUGAAUAACAUGGCAAAUGAGCAGAAAUGGAUUUCCUUCCUUCCAAGUAGCCUGCUUCAUGUCUUCCCACAGCAUUAACUGGGAAGCCCCCACUGACCAGCAGCUGUCCCUUUAACAGACUUGUACCGUCUUGAGCAAUAAAUACUUCAGAAAGCCUGAAUAAAAGUGCA